This 492-nucleotide ribosomal RNA is filed under the name uncultured bacterium. RNAcentral's name for it is "partial 16S ribosomal RNA". It matches the Rfam family "Bacterial small subunit ribosomal RNA", at positions 29 to 507 of the family's 1533-position model. The record is from RNAcentral.
AGUGAACGCUGGCGGUAGGCCUAACACAUGCAAGUCGAACGGCAGCACAGUAAGAGCUUGCUCUUACGUGUGUCGAGUGGCGGACGGGUGAGGAAUACAUCGGAAUCUACUUUUUCGUGGGGGCUAACGUAGGGAAACUUACGCUAAUACCGCAUACGACCUCCGUGUGAAAGCAGGGGAUCUUCUGACCUUGCGCGAUUGAAUGAGCCGAUGUCGGCUUAGCUAGUUGGCGGGUUAAAGGCCCACCAAGGCGACGAUCCGUAGCUGGUCUGAGAGGAUGAACAGCCAGACUGGCACUGAGACACGGUACAGACUCCUAAGGGAGGAAGCAGUGGGGAAUAUUGGACAAUGGGCGAAAGCCUGAUCCAGCCAUACCGCGGGGGGGAAGAAGGACUUAGGGUUGUAAAGCCAUUUUGGUGGGAAAGAAAAGCAGCAGGUUAAUACCCCGCUGUUCUGACGGUACCCAAAGAAUAAGCACCGGCUAACUUCGUG